RNAcentral lists this transfer RNA (72 nucleotides) under Dipodomys ordii (Ord's kangaroo rat). It matches the Rfam family "tRNA". Rfam says of the family: Transfer RNA (tRNA) molecules are approximately 80 nucleotides in length. Their secondary structure includes four short double-helical elements and three loops (D, anti-codon, and T loops). Further hydrogen bonds mediate the characteristic L-shaped molecular structure. tRNAs have two regions of fundamental functional importance: the anti-codon, which is responsible for specific mRNA codon recognition, and the 3' end, to which the tRNAs corresponding amino acid is attached (by aminoacyl-tRNA synthetases). tRNAs cope with the degeneracy of the genetic code in two manners: having more than one tRNA (with a specific anti-codon) for a particular amino acid; and 'wobble' base-pairing, i.e. permitting non-standard base-pairing at the 3rd anti-codon position. The record is from Rfam by way of RNAcentral. Lineage: Eukaryota; Metazoa; Chordata; Mammalia; Rodentia; Heteromyidae.
GGGGGCAUGGCUUACGUGGUAGAGCUUCUGUCUGGCAAACAGGAGGCCCUGAGUUCAAACCCAGUACCCUCA